AGCGAACGCUGGCGGCAGGCCUAACACAUGCAAGUCGAACGAACCUUUCGGGGUUAGUGGCGGACGGGUGCGUAACACGUGGGAACGUGCCUUUAGGUUCGGAAUAACUCAGGGAAACUUGUGCUAAUACCGAAUGUGCUCUUCGGGGGAAAGAUUUAUCGCCUUUAGAGCGGCCCGCGUCUGAUUAGCUAGUUGGUUGAGGUAAUGGCUCACCAAGGCGACGAUCAGUAGCUGGUCUGGGAGGAUGAUCAGCCACAUUGGGACUGAGACACGGCCCAAACUCCUACGGGAGGGAGCAGUGGGGAAUCUUGCGCAAUGGGCGAAAGGCUGACGCAGCCAUGCCGGGUGAAUGAUGAAGGUCUUAGGAUUGUAAAAUUCUUUCACCGGGGACGGUAAUGACGGUACCCGGAGAAGAAGCCCCGGCUAACUUCGUG
RNAcentral lists this ribosomal RNA (434 nucleotides) under uncultured bacterium. RNAcentral's name for it is "partial 16S ribosomal RNA". It matches the Rfam family "Bacterial small subunit ribosomal RNA", at positions 29 to 507 of the family's 1533-position model. The record is from RNAcentral.